This 496-nucleotide ribosomal RNA is filed under the name uncultured bacterium. Its description in RNAcentral is "bacterial SSU rRNA". It matches the Rfam family "Bacterial small subunit ribosomal RNA", at positions 29 to 518 of the family's 1533-position model. The record is from RNAcentral.
AUGAACGCUAGCGACAGGCCUAACACAUGCAAGUCGAGGGGCAGCACAAGGAGCAAUCUGAGGUGGCGACCGGCGCACGGGUGAGUAACACGUAUGCAACCUGCCUGUAAGCGGGGAAUAACCCGUUGAAAGACGGACUAAUACCGCAUAAUACUAAAUUUACUGCAUGGUAAUUUAUUUAAACAUUUAUGGCUUACAGAUGGGCAUGCGCAUGAUUAGCUAGUUGGAGAGGUAACGGCUCCCCAAGGCAACGAUCAUUAGGGGUUCUGAGAGGAAGGUCCCCCACACUGGUACUGAGACACGGACCAGACUCCUACGGGAGGCAGCAGUGAGGAAUAUUGGUCAAUGGACGAGAGUCUGAACCAGCCAAGUCGCGUGCAGGAAGAAUGUCCUAUUGGAUUGUAAACUGCUUUUGCAGGGGAAUAAAGUGCAUCACGUGUGAUGUUUUGUAUGUACUCUGCGAAUAAGGAUCGGCUAACUCCGUGCCAGCAGCAGC